Molecule: long non-coding RNA, 1085 nt
Organism: Zingiber officinale
Lineage: Eukaryota; Viridiplantae; Streptophyta; Magnoliopsida; Zingiberales; Zingiberaceae
Exons: 3
Source: RefSeq, a predicted model, not a curated record
GUGAGAUCUCGGAAAAUUUAAAUAAAUAGGGUUAUUUCAUAAAUAGCCUUAUAAUAUUUUUCCGGAAUUUUUAGAAAUUUUCUGGGAAUUUAUCGGAGUUCGUACAACAAGUUUUGAGGGGUCGAUUUGACGGGUUCGGAUAAAGCUUAUUUGGGAGACCUAUUUAAGAGAGGAAAUGUUUAAUUAUAUAAAUCCCCUUUUCUUAUUUCUUUUCUCCCCAAACGCCGAUCCGACCCCGACCGACCUUUGCCCUCUCUGCCGACGCAAAUCCCCGAUCUCCCCUCUCUUCUUCCUAUCUUCUUCCCGAUCGCCUCCGCUCGUCACCGAUCACAGCCGCCUGUGCCGGUUGUCCAACCGUUGGCCAAGGCCCCUUCCGAUCUAGCCGAAGCCCUUUCUCUCUCUCGCUCCGAUCUCUCUGUUCUCUCACGCAAACGAUUCGACACCCCAGCGCCGACAGAGGGUUGUUUCCGACGAUCUCGUCCUCUUACGCCGCCUGAGUACCAUCGCCGGAUUCUUGACAUUGGUGACGCUGUCCAAGCUUUCUGGUGGAGCGAUUGCUUCACUGGCCGGUUCUUGUGCAUAAAUGAUGACGGCUCGGUGGCUAGGGCAUGGUGGAAGGCUUGGUUGGCAUUGUCUCCGAUCGAUUGACCCUUCGUUUUCCUCCUUCUUGAGUUGUUCACAAAACGAUCCGUAGCUCCUCAAGGUGGAUCGGAUUGGGUGAUACCUUAUGGAGACAACCGAUUGAGGGAGGUGUUCUUGAGCUGCCGGGCAGAGGCUAAAAGGAUGGUUGUGCUUGAUCAGUAGUCUUCCUGCUAGAUCCUUGCUUGAUCCGAUUGAUAGCAGCAAGGUGAGGUUAUGUUCCAUUUCUAUGGUGUUGAUUUCUUGAUCACCUAAGAUGUUAGAAGGAUUUUAGCAGCGAGGUUGUGUUACUGUGAUGCUGGAAUUGUGGUCAUUGAGGUGGUAUACAGCAGCGUUUCUAGUUCCAGCAACUCUCCAACAGCAGCUACUUUUCCUAGCAGCACCAUUUCUUUGUGUGGAUCAACAGAACAGUGCUAGGAAUUUAGGACUCUGAUUCGAGACAGGCG